RNAcentral lists this ribosomal RNA (1287 nucleotides) under metagenome. RNAcentral describes it as "bacterial SSU rRNA". It matches the Rfam family "Bacterial small subunit ribosomal RNA", at positions 242 to 1520 of the family's 1533-position model. The record is from RNAcentral.
UAGCUAGUUGGUGAGGUAAAGGCUUACCAAGGCGACGAUCUGUAGCGGGUCUGAGAGGAUGAUCCGCCACACUGGAACUGAGACACGGUCCAGACUCCUACGGGAGGCAGCAGUGGGGAAUUUUGGACAAUGGGGGCAACCCUGAUCCAGCCAUGCCGCGUGAGUGAAGAAGGCCUUCGGGUUGUAAAGCUCUUUCGGCCGGGAAGAAAUCGCAUGGGCCAAUACCCUGUGUGGAUGACGGUACCGGAAUAAGAAGCACCGGCUAACUACGUGCCAGCAGCCGCGGUAAUACGUAGGGUGCGAGCGUUAAUCGGAAUUACUGGGCGUAAAGCGUGCGCAGGCGGUUUUGUAAGACAGGCGUGAAAUCCCCGGGCUUAACCUGGGAACUGCGUUUGUGACUGCAAGGCUAGAGUACGGCAGAGGGGGGUGGAAUUCCACGUGUAGCAGUGAAAUGCGUAGAGAUGUGGAGGAACACCAAUGGCGAAGGCAGCCCCCUGGGUCGAUACUGACCCUCAUGCACGAAAGCGUGGGUAGCAAACAGGAUUAGAUACCCUGGUAGUCCACGCCCUAAACUAUGUCAACUAGGUGUUGGGUGGGUAAAACCAUUUAGUACCGUAGCUAACGCGUGAAGUUGACCGCCUGGGGAGUACGGCCGCAAGGUUAAAACUCAAAGGAAUUGACGGUGACCCGCACAAGCGGUGGAUGAUGUGGAUUAAUUCGAUGCAACGCGAAAAACCUUACCUACCCUUGACAUGCCAGGAACUUGCCAGAGAUGGCUUGGUGCCCGAAAGGGAGCCUGGACACAGGUGCUGCAUGGCUGUCGUCAGCUCGUGUCGUGAGAUGUUGGGUUAAGUCCCGCAACGAGCGCAACCCUUGUCGUUAAUUGCCAUCAUUUAGUUGGGCACUUUAACGAGACUGCCGGUGACAAACCGGAGGAAGGUGGGGAUGACGUCAAGUCCUCAUGGCCCUUAUGGGUAGGGCUUCACACGUCAUACAAUGGUCGGUACAAAGGGUUGCCAGGCCGCGAGGCGGAGCCAAUCCCAGAAAGCCGAUCGUAGUCCGGAUUGCAGGCUGCAACUCGCCUGCAUGAAGUCGGAAUCGCUAGUAAUCGUGGAUCAGCAUGUCACGGUGAAUACGUUCCCGGGUCUUGUACACACCGCCCGUCACACCAUGGGAGCGGGUUCCGCCAGAAGUAGGUAGCCUAACCGCAAGGGGGGCGCUUACCACGGCGGGGUUCGUGACUGGGGUGAAGUCGUAACAAGGUAGCCGUAGGGGAACCUGCGGCUG